GACGUAGGGGGCGAGCGUUGUCCGGAUUCAUUGGGCGUAAAGAGCGCGUAGGCGGUUCGGAAAGUCGGAUGUGAAAACCCGGGGCUCAACUCCGGGCCUGCAGUCGAUACGGGCUGGCUUGAGUGCGGUAGGGGAGACUGGAAUUCCUGGUGUAGCGGUGAAAUGCGCAGAUAUCAGGAGGAACACCGGUGGCGAAGGCGGGUCUCUGGGCCGUAACUGACGCUGAGGAGCGAAAGCGUGGGGAGCGAACAGG
RNAcentral lists this ribosomal RNA (253 nucleotides) under uncultured bacterium. Its description in RNAcentral is "partial 16S ribosomal RNA". It matches the Rfam family "Bacterial small subunit ribosomal RNA", at positions 524 to 776 of the family's 1533-position model. The record is from RNAcentral.